ACAGCGGAGGUGGAGGUGACCUCAAAGGCACAUAAUGUCGGUAGCUCAUUCAUCCGUCCAUGCCAAAUGGAUCGUGGGGAAGGUGAUUGGGACAGCAAUGCAAAAAACUGCUAAAAUGAGAGUGACCAGGCUUGUUCUGGAUCCCUAUUUGUUAAAGUAUUUUAAUAAGCGAAAAACCUACUUUUUUCACGAUGCCCUUCAGCAGUGCACAGUUGGAGAUAUUGUGCUUCUCAAAGCUUUACCUGUUUCACGAACAAAGCAUGUGAAACAUGAACUGGCUGAGAUUGUUUUCAAAGUUGGAAAAGUCAUAGAUUCAGUGACAGGAAAACCUUGUGCAGGAACCACCUACCUGGAGAGUCCAGUCAGUUUGGAAACUACCCACCUAACAAAAAAUGUGGAAGCACUCAAUAUCUUUUCAACACAGUGAAGGAGGACUGGAAGAAGGAGUCAAAGGGAAUGAUUUACACAUUUGCUUUAUGGAAAAAGAAAUUUUUCUAAGUUUUAACACAA
This is an RNA transcript of Carlito syrichta (Philippine tarsier), 510 nucleotides long. It is a transcript of the gene named 28S ribosomal protein S17, mitochondrial pseudogene, with no coding region annotated. The record is from RefSeq and is a predicted model, not a curated record. The transcript has a single exon. Lineage: Eukaryota; Metazoa; Chordata; Mammalia; Primates; Tarsiidae.